This 497-nucleotide ribosomal RNA is filed under the name uncultured bacterium. RNAcentral's name for it is "partial 16S ribosomal RNA". It matches the Rfam family "Bacterial small subunit ribosomal RNA", at positions 28 to 507 of the family's 1533-position model. The record is from RNAcentral.
GAUGAACGCUGGCGGCGUGCCUAAUACAUGCCAGUCGAGCGAACGCACGAGAAGCUUGCUUCUCUGAUUUUAUCGGCGGACGGGUGCGUCACACGGGGAUAACCUACCUAUCAGACUGGGAUAACUUUGGGAGACCGGAGCUUCUACCGGAUGAUAUUUUGCCCCGCAUGGUUCCAAAGUUAGAGACGGUCUUGCUGACACUUAUAGAUUGAUACGCGCUGCAUUAGCUAGUUGGUAAGGUAACGGCUUAGCAAGGCAACGAGGCAUAGACGACCUGAGAGGGUGAAUGGAUACAUGGGAUCUGAGGCAGGGUCGAGACUCCUGCGGUAGGCAGCAGUCGGGAAUCUUACGCGAUGGAGCAGAGCCUGACAGUGCAACGCCGCGUGAGUGAUGAAGGACUUCGGAUCGGAAAACGCUGUUGGUAGGAAAGAACAUAAGUUUAUGUAACCGUGCAGAUAAUGACAGUACCUAAUGAGAAAGCCACGGCUAACUACGUG